Molecule: small RNA, 366 nt
Filed under: Oryza sativa Japonica Group (Japanese rice)
Lineage: Eukaryota; Viridiplantae; Streptophyta; Magnoliopsida; Poales; Poaceae
Description: sRNA Os03g0373601
Source: RNAcentral
AGACAUAAGGGGUGAAGCUUGGCUGAUGAUUCAACAUUAGAAGACUGCAAUGAACAAGAGGCCACUUAAGAAAUGCCAUAGAACAAUCAACGACAGAAAAAUAUGGACUGAAGGAAAUUAUUCUGGGAGCUGAUGUGUGAAAGUAGUUAGUUUUGCCUCAUGUCUGUAGCCUUUCUUUGUAAGAUGCACUAAAGUAGCUGGGUAGUCUGUAUAUAGUUAAGAGUUUGCAGGGACAGUAGUCAUAGAUGCUACAAAUUUGAACCCCCUUUUGGUUCAAAUAGCAAAGAAACUCAUAUCUGUACAAUAUAUUUCUUUUAUCACCUGGCGUGUUGGAUGUUAUGAAAUCUGCAAAGUGAUUGAUUUGUU